UUUGGCAAUCUUCUCGUUCAAAGUUGGCGGAUUUUGUCGGGAAUAGUUCUCGUUUUCCGUGCCGUGAGUGUAAAUCCAGUUGAAUGGGAUUAUUCUGCGAAACUAUCGUUUAGUGGUGUGUGAAUAAAAUAGGAUCACAAUGACCAAGGAUAGAUUAGCAGCUCUCGUAGCGGCCCAGAGUGACGAUGACGAUGUGGGCCCCGAUGAUGUCGCUGUCAAUGUGGAAGGACGAGAUGGAUUUAUGGAUGCUUUCUUUGGAGAGGUGGAAGAGAUACGGGAAAUGAUAGAUAAGAUUCAGGCGAAUGUGGAGGAAGUCAAGAAAAAACACAGCGCCAUUUUGUCAGCUCCUCAAAGUGACGACAAAACUAAACAAGAAUUGGAGGACCUGAUGAGCGACAUCAAGAAAACUGCCAACAAAGUUCGUGCCAAGUUAAAGGUCAUAGAACAAAGUAUAGACCAAGAAGAGACCACUAACAAAAACUCGGCGGACCUGAGGAUACGAAAGAUACAGCAGUCGACGUUAUCUAGGAAAUUUGUUGAAGUGAUGACGGAAUACAAUAGGACGCAGACCGACUACAGGGAGAGGUGUAAAGCGAGAAUAAUGAGGCAGUUAGAGAUCACGGGAAGAACAACAACAAAUGAAGAAUUAGAAGAUAUGUUAGAACAAGGAACUUCUACCGUCUUUACACAAGGUAUUAUAAUGGAGACGCAGCAGGCCAAGCAAACCCUGGCGGACAUCGAGGCUCGACAUGCCGACAUUAUCAAAUUAGAAAAUUCAAUUAGGGAACUCCACGACAUGUUCAUGGACAUGGCCAUGCUGGUGGAAAAUCAGGGCGAGAUGAUAGAUCGCAUCGAGUUCCACGUGGAGCACGCCGUGGACUACGUGCAAACGGCCACCCAGGACACCAAAAAGGCCCUCAAGUACCAGAGCAGGGCCAGGCGGAUAUUUCCUAUGCUAUUCUAAAGUUUACAGUGGAACAUCAUAAUUUUUAAAAUUAAACAUCUCUUUAUGCUCAAACAAUACAGUGAACAGUAUUUUUUAUCGUAGUUCGUAUUGUUGUAUGGGAACAAAUUUUUAAUUUUAUGGAAACAUGAAAAAGAUCUUCAUUAUCAUUUGCCUAGUAGUCCUUCUCGUCAUUCUAAUAAUAAUUUUAUCCACAACGCUUUAGGACUAGUGAGGGACCUCUCGAUAAAAAUUUGCAAUAUAUUCACACCUCUGUACAGGGUGGGU
Molecule: RNA transcript, 1231 nt
Organism: Sitophilus oryzae (rice weevil)
Lineage: Eukaryota; Metazoa; Arthropoda; Insecta; Coleoptera; Curculionidae
Gene: Syx1A
Gene name: syntaxin-1A
Exons: 10
Source: RefSeq, a predicted model, not a curated record